Molecule: ribosomal RNA, 502 nt
Filed under: uncultured bacterium
Lineage: Bacteria
Description: bacterial SSU rRNA
Rfam family: Bacterial small subunit ribosomal RNA
Source: RNAcentral
UAAGAGUUUGAUCAUGGCUCAGAUUGAACGCUGGCGGCGUGCUUAACACAUGCAAGUCGAGCGGUAACAGGCGUAGCAAUACGUGCUGACGAGCGGCGAACGGGUGCGUAAUACAUGGGAAUCUGCCCUUUGGUGGGGAAUAACCCGGCGAAAGCCGGGCUAAUGCCGCAUGAGAUCUUCGGAUGAAAGCGGGGGACCGUAAGGCCUCGCGCCGAUGGAUGAGCCCAUGUCGGAUUAGCUAGUUGGUGAGGUAACGGCUCACCAAGGCGACGAUCCGUAGCUGGUCUGAGAGGACGGCCAGCCACACUGGGACUGAGACACGGCCCAGACUCCUACGGGAGGCAGCAGUGGGGAAUAUUGGACAAUGGGCGAAAGCCUGAUCCAGCAAUGCCGCGUGAGUGAUGAAGGCCUUAGGGUUGUAAAGCUCUUUUACCCGGGAUGAUAAUGACAGUACCGGGAGAAUAAGCUCCGGCUAACUCCGUGCCAGCCGCCGCGGUAAUAC